RNAcentral lists this ribosomal RNA (500 nucleotides) under uncultured bacterium. RNAcentral describes it as "partial 16S ribosomal RNA". It matches the Rfam family "Bacterial small subunit ribosomal RNA", at positions 28 to 507 of the family's 1533-position model. The record is from RNAcentral.
GACGAACGCUGGCGGCGUGCCUAAUACAUGCAAGUCGAGCGGACUGAUUAAGAGCUUGCUCUUAUGGCGUUAGCGGCGGACGGGUGAGUAACACGUGGGCAACCUGCCCUGUAGAUCGGGAUAACACCGAGAAAUCGGUGCUAAUACCGGGUAAUAUCUGAGAUCACAUGAUCUUAGGUUAAAAGAUGGCUCCGGCUAUCACUACAGGAUGGGCCCGCGGCGCAUUAGCUAGUUGGUAAGGUAAUGGCUUACCAAGGCGACGAUGCGUAGCCGACCUGAGAGGGUGAUCGGCCACACUGGGACUGAGACACGGCCCAGACUCCUACGGGAGGCAGCAGUAGGGAAUCUUCCGCAAUGGACGAAAGUCUGACGGAGCAACGCCGCGUGAGUGAUGAAGGGUUUCGGCUCGUAAAGCUCUGUUGUUAGGGAAGAAACAGUACCGAACGAACUAGGUCGGUACCUUGACGGUACCUAACCAGAAAGCCACGGCUAACUACGUG